UAACCCUGAGGAAAGAGUCUCUGCUCAAUGA
This 31-nucleotide non-coding RNA is filed under the name Mus musculus (house mouse). Lineage: Eukaryota; Metazoa; Chordata; Mammalia; Rodentia; Muridae. The record is from RNAcentral.